GUCGAGCGAACUGAUUAGAAGCUUGCUUCUAUGACGUUAGCGGCGGACGGGUGAGUAACACGUGGGCAACCUGCCUGUAAGACUGGGAUAACUUCGGGAAACCGAAGCUAAUACCGGAUAGGAUCUUCUCCUUCAUGGGAGAUGAUUGAAAGAUGGUUUCGGCUAUCACUUACAGAUGGGCCCGCGGUGCAUUAGCUAGUUGGUGAGGUAACGGCUCACCAAGGCAACGAUGCAUAGCCGACCUGAGAGGGUGAUCGGCCACACUGGGACUGAGACACGGCCCAGACUCCUACGGGAGGCAGCAGUAGGGAAUCUUCCGCAAUGGACGAAAGUCUGACGGAGCAACGCCGCGUGAGUGAUGAAGGCUUUCGGGUCGUAAAACUCUGUUGUUAGGGAAGAACAAGUACGAGAGUAACUGCUCGUACCUUGACGGUACCUAACCAGAAAGCCACGGCUAACUACGUGCCAGCAGCCGCGGUAAUACGUAGGUGGCAAGCGUUA
This 501-nucleotide ribosomal RNA is filed under the name Priestia megaterium. RNAcentral's name for it is "bacterial SSU rRNA". It matches the Rfam family "Bacterial small subunit ribosomal RNA", at positions 61 to 543 of the family's 1533-position model. The record is from RNAcentral. Lineage: Bacteria; Bacillati; Bacillota; Bacilli; Caryophanales; Bacillaceae.